AACUUUUAACAACGGAUCUCUUGGCUCUCGCAUCGUGGAAGAACGCAGCGAAAUGCGAUAAGUAAUGUGAAUUGCAGAAUUCAGUGAAUCAUCGAACCUUUGAACGCACCUUGCACCCCUCGGUAUUCCGAGGGGUAUGCCUGUUUGAGUGUCAUUAAAUUCUCAACUCGUUUAAAUUGUCGUAAUGACGAUUUGAAGACGUUGGAUGUGGGGGCUUUUGCUGGCUUUUCAUUAAGUUAGCUCCUCUUAAAUGCAUUAGUGGUUACUGUUCUUUUCCACUUUGGUGUGAUAGUCUAUCUACGCCUAUAAGUGAAAGAUGUUAAGUGUAGCUGCUUUCAAACCGUCUGGGUUUUACUGGACAAUUUGAACUGUUUGACCUCAAAUCAGGUAGGAUUACCCGCUGAACUUAAGCAUAUCAAUAAGCGGAGGCU
This 431-nucleotide unclassified non-coding RNA is filed under the name uncultured Agaricales. Its description in RNAcentral is "sequence contains ITS2". The stretch from base 1 to 154 matches the Rfam family "5.8S ribosomal RNA". The record is from RNAcentral. Lineage: Eukaryota; Fungi; Basidiomycota; Agaricomycetes; Agaricales.